UACGUAGGCAGCAAGCGUUGUUCGGAGUUACUGGGCGUAAAGGGUGUGUAGGCGGUUGGAUAAGUGUGGUGUGAAAUCUCCCGGCUCAACUGGGAGGGUGCGCUACAAACUGUCUGACUAGAGUGUGGGAUGGGAAAGUGGAAUUCCUGGUGUAGCGGUGAAAUGCGUAGAUAUCAGGAGGAACACCGGUGGUGUAGACGGCUUUCUGGACCAUAACUGACGCUGAGACACGAAAGCGUGGGGAGCGAACAGG
Molecule: ribosomal RNA, 253 nt
Filed under: uncultured bacterium
Lineage: Bacteria
Description: partial 16S ribosomal RNA
Rfam family: Bacterial small subunit ribosomal RNA
Source: RNAcentral